GAAGUCACGAAUAACCGGCCGAAAGGUCGGAUAAUACGUGAUGGUCUCGCGAGAGUAAAGAUUUAUCGCUUCGGGAAUGGCCUGCGGGCUAUCAGCUAGUUGGUAAGGUAACGGCUUACCAAGGCUACGACGGCUAGGAGAGCUGAGAGGCUGACCUCCACCGAUGGAACUGCGACACGGUCCAUACUCCUACGGGAGGCUGCAGUCGAGAAUCUUCCGCAAUGGGCGAAAGCCUGACGGAGCGACGCCGCGUGAAGGAUGAAGUCCCUCGGGACGUAAACUUCUUUUAUGAGGGAGGAAAUUUUGACGUUACCUCAUGAAUAAGGGGCUCCUAACUCUGUGCCAGCAGGAGCGGUAAUACAGAGGCCCCAAGCGUUUCCGGGAAUUUUUUGGGCGUAAAGGGUGCGUAGGCGGUCGUAUUAGUCACUUGUUAAAUCUCCCGGCUUAACCGGGAACCUGCAAGUGAAACGGUACGACUCGAGGAUGUGAGAGGUGAUCGGAACUCAAGGUGUAGGGGUGAAAUCCGUUGAUAUCUUGGGGAACACCAAAAGCGAAGGCAGAUCACUGGCACAUUCCUGACGCUGAAGCACGAAAGCGUGGGUAGCGAACGGGAUUAGAUACCCCGGUAGUCCACGCCCUAAACGAUGAUAACUGGCUAUAGGGAGUAUCGACCCUCUCUGUGGCGAAGCUAACGCGUUAAGUUAUCCGCCUGGGUAGUACGGCCGCAAGGCUAAAACUCAAAGGAAUAGACGGGGGCUCGCACAAGCGGUGGAUCAUGAGGCUUAAUUCGUCGCUAAGCGAAGAACCUCACCAGGGUUAGAAAUCCUACUGCACGCUCCGGGAAACCGGAGAAGCCUUCGAGGGUGUAGGACAGGUGAUGCAUGGUCGUCGUCAGUUCGUGGCUUGAGUUGUUCCCUUAAGUGGGGAAACGAACGCAACCCCCGUUGCCUGUUACAAGUGUCAGGCGAGACAGCUCCCUCACGGGAGAGG
Molecule: ribosomal RNA, 990 nt
Filed under: uncultured bacterium
Lineage: Bacteria
Also listed under: 1 other name
Description: bacterial SSU rRNA
Rfam family: Bacterial small subunit ribosomal RNA
Source: RNAcentral